AAUCAACGCUGGCGGCGCGCUUAACACAUGCAAGUCGAACGAGAAAGUGGAGCAAUCCAUGAGUAAAGUGGCGUACGGGUGAGUAACACGUGGAUCAUCUGCCUCUUAGUGGGGAAUAACUCUGGGAAACUGGAGCUAAUACCGCAUAAGCCUGGAAAGGGAAAGCGUUGUCGUAAAAAACGACGCGCUGAGAGAGGAGUCCGCGGCCGAUUAGCUAGUUGGUAGGGUAAAAGCCUACCAAGGCUUUGAUCGGUAGCCGGCCUGAGAGGGCACACGGCCACACUGGCACUGAAACACGGGCCAGACUCCUACGGGAGGCAGCAGUGGGGAAUCUUGCACAAUGGGGGCAACCCUGAUGCAGCGACGCCGCGUGAGCG
Molecule: ribosomal RNA, 377 nt
Filed under: uncultured bacterium
Lineage: Bacteria
Description: bacterial SSU rRNA
Rfam family: Bacterial small subunit ribosomal RNA
Source: RNAcentral